RNAcentral lists this ribosomal RNA (253 nucleotides) under uncultured bacterium. Its description in RNAcentral is "partial 16S ribosomal RNA". It matches the Rfam family "Bacterial small subunit ribosomal RNA", at positions 524 to 776 of the family's 1533-position model. The record is from RNAcentral.
UACAGAGGGUGCAAGCGUUAAUCGGAAUUACUGGGCGUAAAGCGCACGCAGGCGGUUGGUUAAGUCAGAUGUGAAAGCCCCGGGCUCAACCUGGGAACUGCAUUUGUGACUGCAAGGCUAGAGUACGGUAGAGGGGGGUAGAAUUCCAGGUGUAGCAGUGAAAUGCGUAGAGAUGUGGAGGAACACCGAUGGCGAAGGCAGCCCCCUGGGUCAAGAUUGACGCUCAUGCACGAAAGCGUGGGGAGCAAACAGG